AAUCAACGCUGGCGGCGUGCCUCAGACAUGCAAGUCGAACGAUUAAAGCUCUCUUCGGAGAGUGCAUAAAGUGGCGCACGGGUGAGUAACACGUAAGUAAUCUACCUUCGAGUGGGGAGUAACGUCCGGAACGGACGCUAAUACCGCAUAACGCAGCGGCAUCGCAAGAUGACAGUUGUUAAAGAUUUAUCGCUUGAAGAGGAGCUUGCGGCAGAUAGCUUGUUGG
RNAcentral lists this ribosomal RNA (226 nucleotides) under uncultured bacterium. Its description in RNAcentral is "partial 16S ribosomal RNA". It matches the Rfam family "Bacterial small subunit ribosomal RNA", at positions 32 to 252 of the family's 1533-position model. The record is from RNAcentral.